UGGGGAAUCUUGCGCAAUGGGCGAAAGCCUGACGCAGCAACGCCGCGUGCGGGAUGAAGGCCUUCGGGUUGUAAACCGCUUUCAGCAGGGACGAAAACAGACGGUACCUGCAGAAGAAGCCCCGGCCAACUACGUGCCAGCAGCCGCGGUAACACGUAGGGGGCGAGCGUUGUCCGGAUUUAUUGGGCGUAAAGAGCUCGUAGGCGGCUUAGUAAGUCAGGUGUGAAACCUCCAGGCUCAACCUGGAGACGCCACCUGAUACUGCUGUGGCUAGAGUCCGGUAGGGGAGCAGGGAACUCCUGGUGUAGCGGUGAAAUGCGCAGAUAUCAGGAAGAACACCAGCGGCGAAGGCGCUGCUCUGGGCCGGAACUGACGCUGAGGAGCGAAAGCGUGGGGAGCAAACAGGAUUAGAUACCCUGGUAGUCCACGCCGUAAACGUUGGGCACUAGGUGUGGGUCUCAACCAACGAGAUCCGUGCCGUAGCUAACGCAUUAAGUGCCCCGCCUGGGGAGUACGGCCGCAAGGCUA
RNAcentral lists this ribosomal RNA (528 nucleotides) under uncultured bacterium. Its description in RNAcentral is "bacterial SSU rRNA". It matches the Rfam family "Bacterial small subunit ribosomal RNA", at positions 355 to 896 of the family's 1533-position model. The record is from RNAcentral.